Cinara cedri is the source of this 2378-nucleotide non-coding RNA. Lineage: Eukaryota; Metazoa; Arthropoda; Insecta; Hemiptera; Aphididae. The record is from the annotation of a GenBank genome assembly.
CAAAAAUAUCCAUUUCUUCAAAAACUAAAAAUCCUAAUGCCAUGGGCUACUACAGCGAUAAUUAAAUUCAUACGAUAAAGGGAUUGUCUCCACACUCAAAUUAGAAAACAUUCUUUGAAUUUAAAAUUAAAAAAAUAAUAUUUUAGUUUUAGGAACAAGCUUACAAAACUAAUAAAAGAAGCUAAAAUUAUGUACUGCAAAACAAAAUUAAUUUAAUUUGAAAAUAACAUCAAACUUAAAUGGCAGUUAAUUAGUGAUGUUAUAUCAUAAAAUAGCAAACCAAAUAAAUGUAAUAAAUUAUUAUAUAGCGUUAAUAAUAACAUUGAACGAACUAGUGAAAAACCAGCCUUUAUCCUAGCAAACCAAUUUAAUAACCAGGUACUUGAUAAGCAUCACCUAUGACUUAGUCAUGCAAUUAGAGAAUCGAAAAGAGACAAUAAUAAUUAUAAUAAAUAAUAAUGAUUUACUAAUUGUAUUGUUGUAUGUCUACUAUAUAUAAAAAUAAUAUUAUUUUAAUAUUAUAGCACUUGCUAAUAUCGAUACGACAAGUAAGUACAGUUUGUAUAACUCUUACUUUUUAACGGAUGUCUUAGUAUUUUUAUUUAUAACAAAAAAACAAUAAAAAAUAAAAUGGCAGGUUAUAUUUUUUAAUUUUUUAAUCGAAAAUCUUUAUAAAGUUUUAAAUAUAAUAAUUUUCGGCAAUCUUAUUAUAGCAUUGUGCACUCUACAUUUCCAUCGAGCCUAUUUCUGCUUAAAUGAUAAAUAAUAUUUUAUUUAAAUAGAAAAAUAUCGAUUACCUAACUUUUAGGUAUUUAUUGCUUAUGGGUAGUAUUAUUUAAUGAUAUUAACUAUAUUAAAAAAGUAUAAAUACAUGAUUACAUUUUAUAGGUGACGCAUAUGAUUAUGUUGAGCAACUGAUGACUUUUGCGGAUUUCGAUGGUACUUUGACGUGAAUUAAUAAUAAUAAUAAUAAUUUUAGAAGACUAUUGUUUUUCUCACAUAAAUUCUUAAAAGUUUUAUCGGACUCAAAAUGCUAAAAUAAUAAUGGUAUUACAAUUGCUAUAGUCUGUAAUAGACUUACUUAAGUUAUAGCAACUUAAUAAUAAAAUAAUUUUUAGAUUCAGAGAAUAACAAGUUAUCUAUUGGUUUUAAUUUGAUAUUGGGUUUUUUUUUUUUUUUGUCAGCAAAGAACUUUUUGAAAAGAAAUCUUGCUCUUAUCUAUAGAGUACAGUACCUGAUCUAAAAAAAAAAUUGUUCAAGGGGUUUUUGAAAUAAUUGGGAAAACCCCGAAAAAAAUAGGGGAAACGGCAAAUACUUAAGGUCCAUGCACCGCGUGAUCGAUUUAAAUAUUACUCCAAUCGAAAAAUGGAAGGAGAUCGAUUUUGUUCCUUUUAAUAUAUAGCAAUUUAAAAUAAGUCGUUUAAUAACGAGUCUGGGUCUAUCAACUAACAACCAUUCGACCAACAGGAUGAUUGACGGACAAUAAUUUAUAAUGCCAUGCGAUUUAUAUUUUUAUUUUAAAAAUCAAAGGAAAAUAUACGAUUUCUAAUAGAAUAAUAUAUAAAGUAUUAAUUUAUAAUAAAACGAAAUUUAUGUUUUUAUUUUUAAUAUAGGUAUAUUGUAUAAAAAAAAAAUUCUAUACUUCCUUAAGUACCGCCUCAGACCAAUUUACUUUUAGAAAUAAAACCUUGAAAAUCGGAGUAAAAUUUCUGAUAGAAAAAUUUCUUAUAGAAAAAAAUGUAAAACUAAGACAUUUCUCGCACUGCCCAUAAUCUUUAAAAUUCAAGGAUAACAAUUAUUGUAAUAAUUUUUUCAUAGUAUUCAUUUAUUUUUAACUUAAGGAAGUUAUUUUAUUUAUAUUCUCAUUUUAUAUGGAUAUUCAGUAUCAAUACUGGAAUAAUAUACUGUUACAUUAACGUAUACAAUUAAAAUGUAAUUAAGUAUUCAUAUAAUUCUAUAUUCUUCUUUGUAGAGAAUAAAGUCGACAAGUCACAUCCAAAACAAUUUUGUGAAAGACUGGAAGCGAAUAAUGGCACACCACUUUCAUCCAUACUACCAGAUGAGAAACCUGAUGAAAUCUGACAAAAAAAAUGUAUAUUGCAUUUAUAUGAAUAUAUUUCACAAUAUUAUAUUGUUAAAAAAAAUAAAUUCGAUAUUAUUUGUACAUUCUUAUAUCUUCGAUAGGUAUACUUGAAUUUAAUAAAUAUUUAUAAAUUGUAUUAAAUAUAGUAAUAUCAAAGUAAAAUUUUCGUUUUCUCUUUAUGCUCAAUAGAUCACUACUAUCACCACUAUAAUAAUAGUGUGUUCAAAGUACAUCAAUGUAGAUUAUUUAUGUGGAUUGUAGAUACCAAACAGUGAACAUACUUCCAACAUUCAGA